GGGAUAUUGCACAAUGGGGGGAACCCUGAUGCAGCGACGCCGCGUGGGUGAAGGAGUAUUUCGGUAUGUAAAGUCCUAUCGGCAGGGAAGAAACCAGACGGUACCUGACUAAGAAGCCCCGGCUAACUACGUGCCAGCAGCCGCGGUAAUACGUAGGGGGCAAGCGUUAUCCGGAUUCACUGGGUGUAAAGGGAGCGUAGACGGCCAGGCAAGCCUGGAGUGAAAGCCCGGGGCCCAACCCCGGGACUGCUCUGGGAACUGUCCGGCUGGAGUGCGGGAGGGGCAGGCGGAAUUCCUGGUGUAGCGGUGAAAUGCGUAGAUAUCAGGAGGAACACCGGCGGCGAAGGCGGCCUGCUGGACCGCGACUGACGUUGAGGCUCGAAAGCGUGGGGAGCGAACAG
RNAcentral lists this ribosomal RNA (401 nucleotides) under uncultured bacterium. Its description in RNAcentral is "bacterial SSU rRNA". It matches the Rfam family "Bacterial small subunit ribosomal RNA", at positions 358 to 775 of the family's 1533-position model. The record is from RNAcentral.